RNAcentral lists this ribosomal RNA (493 nucleotides) under uncultured bacterium. RNAcentral describes it as "bacterial SSU rRNA". It matches the Rfam family "Bacterial small subunit ribosomal RNA", at positions 37 to 518 of the family's 1533-position model. The record is from RNAcentral.
UGGCGGCGCGUUUAAGCAUGCAAGUCGAGCGGCAAGGGCCUUCGGGCCCCUAGAGCGGCGGACGGGUGAGUAACACGUGGACAAGUCUGCCCCCCGGCCCGGGAUAGCCCAGGGAAACCUGGAUUAAUACCGGAUGAGACGGGACCCGCGAUGGCGGGACCCGGGAAAGGCGCUGCGGCGCCGCCGGGGGAUGAGUCUGCGUCCCAUUAGCUAGACGCGGGGUAACGGCCCACCGUGGCGACGAUGGGUAGCCGGCCUGAGAGGGUGGACGGCCACAUUGGAACUGAGACACGGUCCAGACUCCUACGGGAGGCAGCAGCUAAGAAUCUUCCGCAAUGGGCGAAAGCCCGACGGAGCGAACCGCCGCGUGAACGAAGAAGGCCGUGAGGUUGUAAAGUUCUUUUCGGGAGGGGGGAACAACCGUGGCAGGGAAUGGCCGCGGGAUGACGUGAAUCCCGGAAUAAGCCCCGGCUAACUACGUGCCAGCCGCCGC